Molecule: ribosomal RNA, 484 nt
Filed under: uncultured bacterium
Lineage: Bacteria
Description: partial 16S ribosomal RNA
Rfam family: Bacterial small subunit ribosomal RNA
Source: RNAcentral
AUUGAACGCUGGCGGCAGGCCUAACACAUGCAAGUCGAGCGGAUGAAGGGAGCUUGCUCCUGGAUUCAGCGGCGGACGGGUGAGUAAUGCCUAGGAAUCUGCCUGGUAGUGGGGGAUAACGUCCGGAAACGGGCGCUAAUACCGCAUACGUCCUGAGGGAGAAAGUGGGGGAUCUUCGGACCUCACGCCAUCAGAUGAGCCUAGGUCGGAUUAGCUAGUUGGUGGGGUAAAGGCCUACCAAGGCGACGAUCCGUAACUGGUCUGAGAGGAUGAUCAGUCACACUGGAACUGAGACACGGUCCAGACUCCUACGGGAGGCAGCAGUGGGGAAUAUUGGACAAUGGGUGAAAGCCUGAUCCAGCCAUGCCGCGUGUGUGAAGAAGGUCUUCGGAUUGUAAAGCACUUUAAGUUGGGAGGAAGGGCAGUAAGUUAAUACCUUGCUGUUUUGACGUUACCAACAGAAUAAGCACCGGCUAACUUCGUG